Long non-coding RNA from Canis lupus familiaris (dog), 3592 nucleotides. RefSeq lists it as uncharacterized. The record is from RefSeq and is a predicted model, not a curated record. Lineage: Eukaryota; Metazoa; Chordata; Mammalia; Carnivora; Canidae. The transcript has 5 exons.
UCACUUAACUGGAGACAGUCAAGAUAACAAGAUGUUCUGUUACUCUUGUCCUACUUUCAGGUGCUCUGAGUCCAGAGUGAAAGAUUUUCAUGUCGCUGUCUACGUUCACUUCGGCCCUCUUCUCCAGUGCUCCUGGCUAUGUGGCGGGAGACAUCAACAGGUACCACAAGGCAACCUGGGGCAGCCCACUGGUGAGGAGACCACACUGUGAUCUCAGCUGAGCAGCAUCACACCUCUUACACCUCACUGUGUGUGUCUGUGUGUUUAUGUGUGUCUGGGUCUGUGUAUGUGUGAGUGCGUGUGCAGAGGGGACCGAGGAGAGGAACAUGCCCUUCCUGGGCACAGACCAGCUUCCAGGAGUUGGAAGCCUGAUACAUCUUUUGUGUUCAGACCCCAGAUCAUAGCAGGCAAGAUGAGAAGGUGAGUUCUGGACACCAAGCUCAACUUCCAAUGUUAGUCAUGAGCCCAAGAGCCUCUUUCACUUGGCUUCCUCCUUGCCAGAUGUCUCCACAGCUGCCCCUCUGGCCUGAACAGGAGAACACAAUUUCUAAUGGGGGUGUUCCCUUGGGGGUGAUGUUGAGGGAGGGGAGUACCCUAAUGUCUCUUGGCCUUGUAUAUACGGGGCACUGUAUUUGCAGAGCUGCACCAAGGAGAUCUUGGAGGAGAUGGUCUGUGGCUUCAACUAUUCCCACUCCCUAGACAAUUAGGUGCACCAGACAAACAAGGAUCAGUGCUGUUCUGAGGUGAGAAAGGGAAGAGGGCUCACCACAGAAAUAUGGCCCCCCCCACAAACAUGGAGAGAAAACUGGGGCCCUCUCAUAGUGUUUCCACAUGAGUGUCCCACAGGCCCAACUGCAAAGACAUCUGAACCUCCACGCCUAUCCUCCAGCUACAUAUGAUGUGGGAAGACACUCUUCACCUGUAUUGGAAUGGUGUAGAAUAGAUUUCGUGUUUUUGAGGAGUUGGUGGGGGGGGGGUGUUGUUUUUUCACAAAGCCAUGAGUAUCUUUGCGUUUUACUUCUGUUUUUAUUAUUUCAUGUACUCCUCCCAGCUAUCCGGUGUAGAAGCCAGCUCCGCUGUCCCUGCAGACCUUCUCCGAGCCCUUCCAAAUCAUCACAUUAAAUAGGGUGAUUUAACACAAAAGGAAGGGUGUGAUGAAGCUAUUGCAUAUGUUUUCAUAUAGAAUGUUUAUAUAGUCUCUCUCUAUAGAUUCUAUAUGUUUCUCUAUAACAUGUCAUCUCUCAGAACACAUCAAAUCAUUGUAGGCCCAACAGAUCAUGAGCUGUAUCCCUAUAGAUCUUUGUAGUAGCCCGUAAAUGAGGCCGUCUGCCACAGGGAUUCAGACUUUUGAGGCCCUUGGCACUUGACCGUAUGCCAUUCUCUUGCUAUUUCUGCAGUGCUGCAAGGAACACCUUAUGUGUCCCCACAGACUGUUUUGGUUGCUAGAUCUGCCAUAACCUGGAACCCCAGAUUAGGGGGAAGGCCUCUGAUGCCUCCUGGCACAGUAGCUGGCUCUUUUUGUAAUUAUCCACCCAGGAAAUCUUGGAUGAGUUGCUCCAAGAGUUCAACUCCUCCAUCUCCUCUGACAAGCACAGGGGCAUCAGGCCACCAACUACAUCCAUUGAAGGUCUGCGGUGAGUACAGGUCCACAUCCAUGGUCAAACUCAAGACACAGAGAUGAACAGGGAAAUACCAGAACACAGACUAGAAACAACUGAUGCCCUUGGGCCCUGCCGGAGAAGGUAGUUUUCCCCUGACCCUUCUUCCCUAUGUCAGGAACAGACCAAGCCACAUCAGCUUAAGGGAAACCCCAUGCAGCUCACGCUCUGGUCUCUUCUCAGCUGCAAUGUAUGUGAUCUUGAGCAGCAUUUGAGGGUCUAGCCCUCUGUGUUCUGUGUGAGGCCAUAACUGAAGACUCAAUGGCAUACUGGUCUUCAUAAAACUAUUAGUUGAGAGGACUGCUGUUGUUGCUCAGCUAACAGAAUGUGUUGAAGUUACUAAUGGUUUACCAUGUCUUCCCUAAAACCAAUGAUACUUUGAAGCCUCAAACCUUUUUCUGUGUGGGCACUCAAGUCCCUUAUCUUGUAAAACUUCCCGAGGGGAUGGGAAUCUCUGGUCUGCGAGGCAGACCCUGAUCUUCGCAGUGGUUCUUGGUCUGGAAGCUGACUACAGUGCUCCUCCUUGUGUCUCUGGUGUGAAAAGGAAUCAACCCUAUUCCUAGGUGAGGCCAGGACCAUGCUGACGCUCAAAGAAGGGAGAAUGGAUAAUUUUGUACAUUCCUUGGUACCAUCCUUCCAGGAUAGAAGCCUCGCAAACAACCCAGUCAUUUCCUGUAUCUACGAGGUGUUCACCACAGCCCAACAGGUCCUGGGCCAGCAAUUCCCCAGUGCCAGAUCCACGGCUCCUUCCAGCAUCUCCUCCAUCAGCUGUUCCAGAUCUGGAACAAGAGCUCAUGUCUUCUUCUGCAUGUGUACCAGGUCAUGAGCUGCAGUCAGUUUGACCACCAGCUUUCCUGGGAAUUGUAACUCCUUCCUUAAACAUAGAGACAGAGCCACCUCCAGCCCGAGAGGUGAUCUGCCACUGGUGCAUAACCCCUGAGCACCAGCGGCAUGAGGAGGAGCCCGGUCUCAUGGACUUCCCUCCCAAGCUGGUGGCAGAGCAAUUGACAUCUGCAGAUGUGGAUCUGUUCAAGAAGGUGCUGCCCCAACAGUGCCUGGGCUCCAUUUGGUCCAAGCGAAAUGACCUGGAAAUGAGCACCUGGCAUGCACAGUCCGUGCCACCAUCACCCAGUUCAACGACGUGGCCAACUGCGUCAUCACCACCUUCCUUGGCAACCCACGCAUGACUGCCCGGGACAGGCCAUGGUGGUGGAACACUGGAUCAAGGUGGCCAAGGCCUGUCAAAUCUUGCGUAACUACUCUUCCACGCAUGCUAUCAUUUCUGCUCUGCAGAGUGCCUCAAUUCACCGCCUGAAGAACACAUGGACCAAAGUUUCCAGCCCUGCAGGAAUGGCCAUCUAAACUUGGAACCCUGGGGAUAAAUGUUCAGAGAGCAUGGAAGAGGGAGCGGCAGAAGAAGCUGAGCGUGCCCCAGAUACAUGGCCUCGAACCCAGAGGAGAGGGGGGCUCUUCGCUGAAAGCUGGAACCCCCCAAAUCAAGACAGGUGGGGCCUUCCAACUCCAGCUCUGCCUCCUGUUGCCACAGCUUCUAAAACCCUUCUUUCGAAGUGACCUGGAAGAGGGUCUAUAAACCUGGAUACAAAUGUGUUUGUCGGUGGGCAGGGGCCCAGGGCCACAUAUACAAUGAUUUUCUAAAGCACGCCCUUGACAUGAUUAGGAGGACUCUGAUGUUCUUGGAGGGUGAGGGAAGGGUCCUUGUCUGCACCAUGUAGAAGCUGGGGUGGGCCAGGAGGCUGAAAUGUUUCCCAGGGAGGAUCCCUGUGGACACGAGAGAGCAGGGACUCACUCCACCCCCAACCCCCUGACACAGGGUGUCGUCCCCUUCCUUGGCACCUUCCUCACUGACCUGCUCAUGCUGGAUGCUGCAAUGGAGAAGUGCCUGGAGGAGCGUGAGCCUGAGGGCCGGGAAAGAG